AACGAACGCUGGCGGCAUGCCUAACACAUGCAAGUCGAACGAGACCUUCGGGUCUAGUGGCGCACGGGUGCGUACCGCGUGGGAACCUGCCCUUAGGUUCGGAAUCACUCCCCGAAAGGGGUGCUAAUACCGGAUAAUGUCUUCGGACCAAAGAUUUAUCGCCUUUGGAUGGGCCCGCGUUGGAUUAGCCAGUUGGUAGGGUAAAGGCCUACCAAGGCGACGAUCCAUAGCUGGUCUGAGAGGAUGAUCAGCCACACUGGGACUGAGACACGGCCCAGACUCCUACGGGAGGCAGCAGUGGGGAAUAUUGGACAAUGGGCGAAAGCCUGAUACAGCAAUGCCGCGUGAGUGAUGAAGGCCUUAGGGUUGUAAAGCUCUUUUACCCGGGAUGAUAAUGACAGUACCGGGAGAAUAAGCUCCGGCUAACUCCGUG
Molecule: ribosomal RNA, 433 nt
Filed under: uncultured bacterium
Lineage: Bacteria
Description: partial 16S ribosomal RNA
Rfam family: Bacterial small subunit ribosomal RNA
Source: RNAcentral